Molecule: transfer RNA, 82 nt
Filed under: Daphnia pulex (common water flea)
Lineage: Eukaryota; Metazoa; Arthropoda; Branchiopoda; Diplostraca; Daphniidae
Rfam family: tRNA
About the family: Transfer RNA (tRNA) molecules are approximately 80 nucleotides in length. Their secondary structure includes four short double-helical elements and three loops (D, anti-codon, and T loops). Further hydrogen bonds mediate the characteristic L-shaped molecular structure. tRNAs have two regions of fundamental functional importance: the anti-codon, which is responsible for specific mRNA codon recognition, and the 3' end, to which the tRNAs corresponding amino acid is attached (by aminoacyl-tRNA synthetases). tRNAs cope with the degeneracy of the genetic code in two manners: having more than one tRNA (with a specific anti-codon) for a particular amino acid; and 'wobble' base-pairing, i.e. permitting non-standard base-pairing at the 3rd anti-codon position.
Source: Rfam by way of RNAcentral
GGUAGCGUGGCCGAGCGGUCCAAGGCGAUGGUUUAAGGCACCAGUCUCUUCGUGGGCAUGGGUUCGAAUCCCAUCGCUGCCA